AUGCCCAAAGUAUCUUACCUUAAACCACAUCAUGUAGAUCCAGAAUUAGCAUUUGAGGCUUCCUGGCUCCCAGCUCCCUGCUGCCGCCUAGAAUUUUAUAUGACCUGUGGAAUUGGCCAAAUGACAUUAUGCAGUAGCCAAAACAGACACGGAAAACAGAAUCCAGUGUUCUCCUUGGCACAUGCCCACUCUGCACUGCCUGAGGCUCCCAGGCCUCAACCCUUUGGGCACUGGUCUCAUAAGCUAAGCAAGGCUGGCUGUUCUCUGUACUUGCCUGGGAGAUGUCUGAGGAAGAUUCAUUGCGCUGUGGAAAAUGAGGUGGAGAUGCAGUAG
Molecule: long non-coding RNA, 333 nt
Filed under: Gopherus agassizii (Agassiz's desert tortoise)
Lineage: Eukaryota; Metazoa; Chordata; Testudines; Testudinidae
Description: lncRNA (ENSGAGG00000001181.1)
Source: RNAcentral